RNAcentral lists this ribosomal RNA (253 nucleotides) under uncultured bacterium. RNAcentral's name for it is "partial 16S ribosomal RNA". It matches the Rfam family "Bacterial small subunit ribosomal RNA", at positions 524 to 776 of the family's 1533-position model. The record is from RNAcentral.
UACGUAGGGGGCUAGCGUUGUCCGGAAUCAUUGGGCGUAAAGAGCGUGUAGGCGGCUCGGUAAGUCCGCUGUGAAAGUCGGGGGCUCAACCCUCGAAUGCCGGUGGAUACUGUCGAGCUAGAGUGCGGAAGAGGCGAGUGGAAUUCCUGGUGUAGCGGUGAAAUGCGCAGAUAUCAGGAGGAACACCGAUUGCGAAGGCAGCUCGCUGGGACGUUACUGACGCUGAGACGCGAAAGCGUGGGGAGCAAACAGG